AGUUUGUUCAAGAGCAAGCCUGGUGUAACGUUCGUUUGAUAAAAAAAAAAUUAUAUUCUAUCGUUGAGUAAUAAUUAUUAUUUUUCAUAAUGUUAUAAAUUUUUUAUAUAUUAAUUUAAUAUUAUAUGCAGUAUAUUUAUUAUUUUUUUAUAUACUGUAUAUUUGAAAUUUUUUUUGCCUCGAAAUAUUGAGUAAAUAUUUUAGAAAUGAAUAAAAAUAUUUGCUUGGUUUUUUUUUUUAAAUUUUCGUUUGAAUUGAAUUUUGAAUGGUCAAUUUUUAUUUAAUAAUUGAUAUAAGGAAAAAAUUAUAAAUGGAUUUUUUAAGUAUGGUGGUAAAAAUUUUCAAAAUUUGUGUGCAAAAAUUAAUAAUUAUGAAGAUUUAAAAUUAUAUUUGAAAAAAAAAUUAAAAACAAAUAUACAUAUUUAUUACAACAACAUUCAUGGAAAAUUUAAUUUUUUAUUUUUUCAGUUUUUCAAUAAGUAUAUCUCAUUGAAAUUAAUGACAAAAAUUAAAAUUUGAAAUUUAAUAAGAUUAAAUAAAUGGCUGUUGAUAAAUCUCGAGAUUUUAUUUCCUGUGUGUGGCCAGCCCAAAAAUAGAACGAAGGGCAAUUGAGAAAAAAAAAAAAAAAAAGUUUUAAAAAUAAAAUUUCUCAAUUAUUUUGUUGUACAAAUAAUGAUAAUUUAAAAAACCAAAAAAAUUAUAAACAUUUACUUGUACAAAAAAUUACAAAAACUGAUGAACAAAAAAAAAAAUUGUAAAUUAAAUUUGGUACAUGGAAAUUCACCAAUUUUCAAUAGAAAAAAAAAAUAGAAAAAUAAAGAAAUAAAUAAGAUAAAAAAGAAAAUGACAAAAAAAAUUAUUAAAAAUAAUGAUUUUUUGAAAAAUAAUAAUAAACAAUAAUAAAUAAUAAUAAAUAUUAUUAUUAUUAUUAAAUAUUAUGUAUGCUGCGCGAGAUUAAACGAGUCAUUCUACCCCCACUUAUGAUCUGGUAGUCGGGCAGCGUCAACACGAUGAAAGAUAUAGCCUGGUCUAGUAGAUAGAAACUCGAAGGAGAAAUGGCAGUCGCCCUUGGUUCGCAUCAAACUAUCAAAGUGUCAUGCAGUUAGAGUAAUAAAAUUUUUUUUUUCAUAUAUAAAUAAUUUAUUUUCUAUCAUCUGGAUGACCAUCAAUUAUCAAUAAUAAUCAUAAAAUAAGAAGAAAACAGAUGUCCGGAAAAAUAUCUAAGGGUGCAAAUAAAUUUAGAGAGUGAUGGCGUCACAUCUGAAAAGCGUGUUAAAAAAUUUUUAACAACGCCAAGAAUA
Long non-coding RNA from Aphidius gifuensis, 1301 nucleotides. RefSeq lists it as uncharacterized. The transcript has 3 exons. The record is from RefSeq and is a predicted model, not a curated record. NCBI's taxonomy places the organism in Eukaryota, Metazoa, Arthropoda, Insecta, Hymenoptera, Braconidae.